RNAcentral lists this ribosomal RNA (485 nucleotides) under uncultured archaeon. RNAcentral's name for it is "bacterial SSU rRNA". It matches the Rfam family "Archaeal small subunit ribosomal RNA", at positions 511 to 997 of the family's 1478-position model. The record is from RNAcentral.
UAAAGCGUCCGUAGCCGGUUAAUAAGUCUCUGGUGAAAUCCUGUAGCUUAACUGUGGGAAUGCUGGAGAUACUAUUAGACUUGAGACCGGGAGAGGUUAGAGGUACUCCCAGGGUAGAGGUGAAAUUCUGUAAUCCUGGGAGGACCGCCUGUUGCGAAGGCGUCUAACUGGAACGGUUCUGACGGUGAGGGACGAAAGUUAGGGGCGCGAACCGGAUUAGAUACCCGGGUAGUCCUAACCGUAAACGAUGCGGACUUUGGUGUUGGGGUGGCUUUGAGCUGCUCCAGUGCCGAAGGGAAGCUGUUAAGUCCGCCGCCUGGGAAGUACGGUCGCAAGACUGAAACUUAAGGAAUUGGCGGGGGAGCACCACAACGCGUGGAGCCUGCGGUUUAAUUGGAUUCAACGCCGGACAUCUCACCAGAGGCGACAGCUGUAUGAUAGCCAGGCUGAUGACUUUGCUUGACUAGCUGAGGGGAGGUGCAUGG